Molecule: ribosomal RNA, 406 nt
Filed under: uncultured bacterium
Lineage: Bacteria
Description: partial 16S ribosomal RNA
Rfam family: Bacterial small subunit ribosomal RNA
Source: RNAcentral
AUUGAACGCUGGCGGCAGGCCUAACACAUGCAAGUAGAGCGAGGGGAGGACGGGUGAGUAAUGUAUGGGGAUCUGCCCGAGAGAGGGGGAUACCUACUGAAAACGGUGGCUAAUACCGCAUACCUUCGGAUGAAUCCAGAUGGGAUUAGCUAGUAGGUGGGGGAAAGGCUAACCUAGGCCAAGAGCUCUAGCUGGUCUGAGAGGAUGAUCAGCCACACUGGGACUGAGACACGGCCCAGACUCCUACGUGAGGCAGCAGUGGGGAAUAUUGCACAAUGGGCGCAAGCCUGAUGCAGCCAUGCCGCGUGUAGGAAGAAGGCCUUAGGGUUGUAAAGUACUUUCAGCGGGGAGGCGUUACCCGCAGAAUAAGCACCGGCUAACUCCGUGCCAGCAGCCGCGGUAAUUC